GUCACUGCAAAUUCAGUGAUCGGGUUUGGUCGCCCGAAUAUCUCACGGUGCACAUCACCGCUAUAGCGGUUUUUUU
This 76-nucleotide small RNA is filed under the name Thiopseudomonas alkaliphila. Its description in RNAcentral is "Oblitimonas alkaliphila isrK Hfq binding RNA". It matches the Rfam family "isrK Hfq binding RNA". The record is from Rfam by way of RNAcentral. Lineage: Bacteria; Pseudomonadati; Pseudomonadota; Gammaproteobacteria; Pseudomonadales; Pseudomonadaceae.